Non-coding RNA from Caenorhabditis elegans, 64 nucleotides. NCBI's taxonomy places the organism in Eukaryota, Metazoa, Nematoda, Chromadorea, Rhabditida, Rhabditidae. The record is from Rfam.
GAGGCAGCUUUGUGACGACCUUUGGCUAAACUCCAUCGUGAGCGCCUCUGGUCUGAUGCGCCUC